AGAGUUUGAUCCUGGCUCAGGACGAACGCUGGCGGUGUGCUUAAUACAUGCAAGUCGAACGAAGAGGCCCCUCGGGGUACUUCAGUGGCGGACGGCUGAGUAAUGCAUAGGUAACGUGCCCUUAACUGGGGGAUAACACCGGGAAACUGGUGCUAAUACCGCAUAAGUGUCAGGUUGAAAUACCUGCCAUUAAAGAAUUUCGGUUAAGGAUCGGCCUGUGUUGGAUUAGCUAGUUGGUAGGGUAAUGGCCUACCAAGGCGACGAUCCAUAGUUGGUCUGAGAGGAUGACCAGCCAGAGUGGGACUGAGACACGGCCCACACUCCUACGGGAGGCAGCAGUAGGGAAUAUUGCGCAAUGGGCGAAAGCCUGACGCAGCAACACCGCGUGGAGGAUGAAGCUUUUCGGAGCGUAAACUCCUGUCAGCAGGGAAUAUAAUGACUGUACCUGCAGAGGAAGCAUCGGCUAACUACGUGCCAGCAGCCGCGGUAAUACGUAGGAUGCAAGCGUUGUCCGGAAUUAUUGGGCGUAAAGAGUUCGUAGGUGGUUAUCUAAGUCUGGUGUUAAAGACGGGAGCUCAACUCCCGCAUGGCAUCGGAAACUGGAUGGCUAGAGUGUGAAAGAGGUNACUGGAAUUCCUGGNUGUAGCGGUGAAAUGCGCAGAUAUCAGGAGGAACACCUGUGGGCGAAAGCGAGUUACUGGUUCAUUACUGACA
This 714-nucleotide ribosomal RNA is filed under the name uncultured bacterium. RNAcentral's name for it is "bacterial SSU rRNA". It matches the Rfam family "Bacterial small subunit ribosomal RNA", at positions 8 to 745 of the family's 1533-position model. The record is from RNAcentral.